Molecule: ribosomal RNA, 405 nt
Filed under: uncultured bacterium
Lineage: Bacteria
Description: partial 16S ribosomal RNA
Rfam family: Bacterial small subunit ribosomal RNA
Source: RNAcentral
AUUGAACGCUGGCGGCAGGCUUAACACAUGCAAGUCGAACGAGUGGCGGACGGGUGAGUAAUGCUUGGGAAUCUGGCUUAUGGAGGGAGAUAACGACGGGACACUGUCGCUCAUACCGCGUACCAUAGGAUGAGCCCAAGUGGGAUUUGGUAGUGGGUGGGGUAAUGGCCUACCAAGCCGCCGAUCCCUAGCUGGUCUGAGAGGAGGACCAGCCACACGGGCACUGAGAAACGGUCCAGACUCGUACGGGAGGCAGCAGUGGGGAAUAGUGCGCAAUGGGGGCAACCUGACGCAGCCAUGCCGCGUGAAUGAAGAAGGCCUUCGGGUGGUAAAGUUCUUUCGGUGACGAGGCGUUAAUCACAGAAGAAGCACCGGCUAACUCCGUGCCAGCAGCCGCGGUAAUUC